CGGACGGGUGAGUAACACGUGGAUAACCUACCUAUAAGACUGGGAUAACUUCGGGAAACCGGAGCUAAUACCGGAUAAUAUAUUGAACCGCAUGGUUCAAUAGUGAAAGACGGUUUUGCUGUCACUUAUAGAUGGAUCCGCGCCGCAUUAGCUAGUUGGUAAGGUAACGGCUUACCAAGGCAACGAUGCGUAGCCGACCUGAGAGGGUGAUCGGCCACACUGGAACUGAGACACGGUCCAGACUCCUACGGGAGGCAGCAGCC
Molecule: ribosomal RNA, 263 nt
Filed under: uncultured Staphylococcus sp.
Lineage: Bacteria; Bacillati; Bacillota; Bacilli; Caryophanales; Staphylococcaceae
Description: partial 16S ribosomal RNA
Rfam family: Bacterial small subunit ribosomal RNA
Source: RNAcentral